This 250-nucleotide ribosomal RNA is filed under the name uncultured bacterium. Its description in RNAcentral is "partial 16S ribosomal RNA". It matches the Rfam family "Bacterial small subunit ribosomal RNA", at positions 524 to 773 of the family's 1533-position model. The record is from RNAcentral.
GACGAACCGUACGAACGUUAUUCGGAAUCACUGGGCUUAAAGGGUGCGUAGGCGGCGCUGAAAGUUGGGUGUGAAAUCCCUCGGCUUAACCGAGGAACUGCGCCCAAAACUACAGUGCUUGAGGGAGAUAGAGGUGAGCGGAACUUAGGGUGGAGCGGUGAAAUGCGUUGAUAUCCUAAGGAACGCCAGGGGCGAAAGCGGCUCACUGGGUCUCUUCUGACGCUGAGGCACGAAAGCUAGGGUAGCGAAC